This 83-nucleotide transfer RNA is filed under the name bacterium. Its description in RNAcentral is "tRNA-Leu". It matches the Rfam family "tRNA". Rfam says of the family: Transfer RNA (tRNA) molecules are approximately 80 nucleotides in length. The record is from RNAcentral.
GCCGAGGUGGCGGAACUGGCAGACGCGCUGUCUUGAGGGGGCAGUACCCAAAAGGUGUGGAGGUUCAAGUCCUCUCCUCGGCA